GAUUAUCGUCGUCGAUUAUCCUCGCCGUCGACCUCCAGUAGCAGUAGCCAUGUCCACGCCUUCUUGUUUUGUUUUGAGACGAUCAUCGUCGAGAUCGAUUCCUGCUCCAUCCCGCUCGUGAUGACACUCUGUUUCGAACCGCAACGCGGCUUUGCUUUCUGCGGUAUCUUCUGCCUUGUUUUUGUUCUGUGCAGUACGGUCAAAAGUAAAAACUCUUGCUGUUCGAUCGACCGAGGCCUGAGUUGGCCGAGCUUUUCGCUCUGCGGUGCAUCGCCUCUGCCCCUGUUGCCAAACAUUUCCAUGUUGAUCCUCUGGCAGCGCUGCUUUUUUGCAUGCGGUUUGCGUAGCCUUCCUCAAAUCAAAUGGAUCGCCUAUUGGCACUGUUUCUUUUCUGGUUGCGCACGUCGUCACCUCCUACUACUUUUUCCAGUUUUAUUUACUUUUGAUGAAGUACGGAUGAAUCGGCUGGUAAUUAACUUUGGUUGCUGUGGAUUUUGGACGCAGGACCCGCUCGCCCGCCCACCAUCGUCAGCAGCCCAGCAUCCCCGCCACAGUCGCCUCCUCCUCGCCGCAUGCAGCCACGUAAUCUCAUUGCCGAUCCAUGUAAUCCCUUCUUGCUCGCCAGACCGCUAGUGCGCACAUGCGCUACAGUUGAUAGGAAUCCGCCGAAAGGGUGCUGCGUGAAUGUAGUUAAAAUCGUUGAGCGGGGUUGUCUGUGCUCAGUGACUGAAGUCCCUGAAGUGAUGCUCUCCGCACUUGACUCAAUUAGGCUUUGGCAGUUUUACGCUAGGUGUGGUGGUACCUUGCCUGUGCCGAGUGAUCAGACAGACUGUGAAGUCUACCGGUCGACCCCGCCCCCACCAGCAAUUCUAUCGCCCCCACCGCCAUCACCGCACAGUCGCUCUCACCACCCUCACCACGCAUGACCACUGCUGCAAAGCCUCAUUCGGUGGCCUCCUCUCUUAGUGAGUCUUGGCAACGCAUCGCGGAUAAGGUGAGGAAUGCGCCCAGGGGGCUGUAUAUCGUGUUAGGCGUCAUCUUGGCCCUUUCUGCAGUCAUUGGGAUUGGAAUCUAUCUGCAGUUACGUAGUCGAGCGUCUACAUCACGUACGGGGUCCUCGGCAGCACCAGCACAGGCGGGGCCCAAAGGAUCACGAGAAGGUGGAGAAGCGAUUAAAGAAACGAACCGACAAGUUGAGAUGUCCGGUGCAGUACUGUCCCGUCGACAGCAAUUCGCAGCGGGCACUAAGGUGCACUCACGCCGUCCUUCCAUGACCGUACAGGCGGCCCCACUAUCUCCACCGGAAGUACCAGUACCGAGUGCCCCUCCGGCGCCCAUAGCUUUAAUGUCAGACUAGAUAGCCCUGUAGUCUAAUUUUCUCCAAGAGGUAAUAGCACCAUGAAUCCAUAAACUUGCAGGGCUGAUGAUUUAGUUCAAAAGUUGCAAAAUGUAAUUGAGGACUCUUACAACUUGACCACUUAUGUGAUGUUUUGGUUCACAGCGAAUCACUGAUCGACAAGUGGCAGUCCAGAGGGUGGACACAACGGCCCCUCCUGUUUCGUUGAUUCAACCCGCACUCCGCCGCCUGCUCCGCUUCCCCGACUUCUACGCGCGCCUCGCCGCCGCCCGCGGCGACCUCUGCCUCUGCGUCAAGUACCAGCUCCCCGGCGAGGACCUCGACGCGCUCGUCUCCGUCACCAACGACGAGGACCUCGAGCACCUCGUCAUCGAGUACGACCGC
This is a long non-coding RNA of Triticum dicoccoides, 1741 nucleotides long. RefSeq lists it as uncharacterized. The transcript is spliced from 3 exons. The record is from RefSeq and is a predicted model, not a curated record. Lineage: Eukaryota; Viridiplantae; Streptophyta; Magnoliopsida; Poales; Poaceae.